Molecule: long non-coding RNA, 308 nt
Organism: Mya arenaria
Lineage: Eukaryota; Metazoa; Mollusca; Bivalvia; Myida; Myidae
Exons: 3
Source: RefSeq, a predicted model, not a curated record
GUCCUGCCUAAGAGUGUGUCAUGGACUUCAGCUGGAUUAAAUGUGUAUUACCCGGGAGGAACUGUUAAGAACCAGCCAGACAGCCCGCCCGCCGAGCUGCCCACCCGGCCGAGCUGUACUUUGUGUAUGCCAACAUGCCGACAUGCUGUAAUUUGUUAGUACUUCAAGAUCAUAUAAUGGAAAAUUGUAUCCAAACUGAAGUAUAAUUUGACGAGCCUGGUUGCUGUAGCCACAGGGGAAUUUUCAAGGACAAGAACCAGUGCUGGUAAAAAUGUGGUCUCAUGUGGUUUUCCAUACUGGCAUUCAGC